Acanthosepion pharaonis is the source of this 112-nucleotide non-coding RNA. Lineage: Eukaryota; Metazoa; Mollusca; Cephalopoda; Sepiida; Sepiidae. The record is from the annotation of a GenBank genome assembly.
UUACAGCCAUAUCAGGUUGAAACAUAGGUUCUCAUAUGAUCAACCAAUUUAAGACAUGUUGAGCUUGGUCAGUACCUAGAUGGGUGACCGCUUGUGAAUACCAGGUGCUAUA